AAGCAUUACAAAAAACCAGAUGAGUAGUGCAAAUAUUUAAAUAACUUGAGGAAAUGUGAUUGAGCCUACAGAAUUUACAUGGGCCUUGUCCACACUUACGCUUGAUUUGCUCUCACUGGCAGUCCUCUCUCUUACUGGUUAGAGAAGCAGCAAAUUCACUCUCUCCUUGAAGAAUUACCCAUUACGAUUAGGUCCUACAAGCCUAUUGUAUCUUCUUGCAUUUGGCCAUCGAGAUAUGUCUGUACACACACAUGGCAGCCGAGAACAGGUUUUAGAUAUCUACAAUGUGUGGCCUGCAAAGAGAACAGCUUUACAUAAUUACAAAAGACAAGGAAGAUUGGUUUCAGAAAAGCCAAUGGUGGAACAGACGAUUACACAUAAAAUUCUGGGCAAGAAGACAAUGACAAUACCAAGAGAGAGAGAGAGCUCAAGAGAGCGAUACUAAGAACUCAUUCAGAAAUCAAGAAAACCCAAAUAGCAUUUAUCCAAGCAGAGAGCAGCUUUACAGUGUUCUAUUAAGCAAAAGGAAGGCAGAUGUUCCAUCUUGUCCCUGUUGGGAAGGUUUUCAUUUGUAGCUGGGUGAUGUUUUUAAAUAAGACUUUGCUAAGUACCGCUUUGUAGAAGGAAAUCGAAUUUCAUGACAGGCUGAAGGAAUUUUAGGCCACUCUGGUAGCUCUCAGAUGUGCAGUUCAAACUGUGGCUUAAAAAGAACAUGUAGGAAUGGAAAAUAUUCAAGACUUAGAGUUAAGGACCCUAUGACUGCCUUUGCCAUUAAAUAGGCCAUCUACCUUUUCAUGCUUCAGUUUCUUCAUUUGCUGAGCAGGAUUAUAAUAACAUACUGCACCUUUGUGAAAUUGGUCGAUACACCACUUCACUGGGUCUCUGUAG
This is a long non-coding RNA of Vulpes vulpes (red fox), 888 nucleotides long. Lineage: Eukaryota; Metazoa; Chordata; Mammalia; Carnivora; Canidae. The record is from Ensembl.